Molecule: ribosomal RNA, 301 nt
Filed under: uncultured bacterium
Lineage: Bacteria
Description: partial 16S ribosomal RNA
Rfam family: Bacterial small subunit ribosomal RNA
Source: RNAcentral
CAGUAGCCGCGGUAAUACGAAGGGGGCUAGCGUUGCUCGGAAUUACUGGGCGUAAAGGGCGCGUAGGCGGACAGUUCAGUCGGGGGUGAAAGCCCGGGGCUCAACCUCGGAAUUGCCUUCGAUACUGGCUGUCUUGAGUAUGAGAGAGGUGUGUGGAACUCCGAGUGUAGAGGUGAAAUUCGUAGAUAUUCGGAAGAACACCAGUGGCGAAGGCGACACACUGGCUCAUUACUGACGCUGAGGCGCGAAAGCGUGGGGAGCAAACAGGAUUAGAUACCCCCGUAGUCCCUGUCUCUUAUAC